RNAcentral lists this ribosomal RNA (253 nucleotides) under uncultured bacterium. RNAcentral describes it as "partial 16S ribosomal RNA". It matches the Rfam family "Bacterial small subunit ribosomal RNA", at positions 524 to 776 of the family's 1533-position model. The record is from RNAcentral.
UACGGGGGAUGCAAGCGUUAUCCGGAAUCACUGGGCGUAAAGCGUCUGCAGGUGGUUUAGUAAGUCUGCUGUUAAAUAUUGGGGCUCAACCCCAACUAAGCAGUGGAAACUGCUAGACUUGAGUAUGGUAUGGGUAGAGGGAAUUCCCAGCGUAGCGGUGAAAUGCGUAGAUAUUGGGAAGAACACCAGUAGCGAAGGCGCUCUACUUGGCCUUAACUGACACUCAGAGACGAAAGCUAAGGUAGCGAAUGGG